Molecule: long non-coding RNA, 2273 nt
Organism: Pogoniulus pusillus (Red-fronted tinkerbird)
Lineage: Eukaryota; Metazoa; Chordata; Aves; Piciformes; Lybiidae
Exons: 5
Source: RefSeq, a predicted model, not a curated record
UCCUGCUGCACAUUGGUUGGAAUAUUAAUUUUGCAGGCUAAUCCAUCUGGCCAUCUGCUCAUCUGAAAUUCAGACAGGGCUGCGUAUUGCAAGUUAAUAGCCUAUAACAACCAAUAGCUCCAAGUGAUCAGCAGAAUGUGUCAUCCUGCCUCCCUCCUCCAUCAGCCAACGGGUGUGACUUGUCAUUUAAUACUUCAGCUACUGAUUAUUCCUGAUGGGGGGAAAAGGUGAGAAAGCAAAUGUCUGAGCUGGUAGUGAUGUUUGGCAUGCAUCUUGUGGAUCCACUUCUUUGUUGCUCUCUCCUAUGGUCCAAUUAUUAUGGGUUGUGCCAAAGGCUAGAGGAAAGACUGUGUUUAGAUCUUCAGAUUGGAAGUAGCGUGACAAAUAAUUUCCUCUGAGAAUUACUUUCCUGUGGAAAGAAUUGGUCUUGACUGGAUAGUCAAGACCAAUAUUUCAAGCUCUUGACUGGUCUGUGGAAACCAUGAAUAUAUGCAGUUUUUUUUCAAACCUAGUAAAAAUUUGAUUUGACACAGUUCCAACAUCCAAACUGAGGAUUGCUAUGCAGAGUUGAGAAACGCGUGAUGAGCUUUGAAAUUUGUACCUGCCUUUAUUAAAGGUUCACUGGACAGCUAACACUCUCUGAAUCAAUGCCUCUAAAUCACCAAUGUUUGCCUAGUGUUUGAAAAAAUCUUAAGUAUAUCAGAACCAGUAUUUGUCCUUGUCUUGUUUGUAAUUUGAACCCUAAAUUUGGAUGAAUUUGUUUGACACAGGCUGCCUUUGCAAAUGAUGUGGUUUGAUUAGCUGCCAAAGUCUUGCUCAGAUCAGUGAUACACUUGAAAUGUUUAAUAUUUUUGGUUAUUAUGACUAGACAUUUUUAUGUCUCACCUUGAUGUGAUUGUGGCAUUAGUUAUAUAAUAAAUGUGAAACUCAGCAAUAGUUAUUCCUUCUUGUGUUCUUAUGGUGCUGUAACAUGGUGAGAGGAGGAUUUACAGAAAGAAAAUGUGGGGCAUGAUCCAGCUCUGAGGCUUUCCAUAAUGCUCAUGUGCCUGACCACCUUUUGCACCUAUGCAGAUCUUCAUUUCUAUGAGUCAAAGCAUUUGUUAAGAAACAAACCAUGGCUUUCUACAUUUUUGAUAACACAGAAUUUGGAACAGAGGCAGGCUUUGCUAUUUCCUACUCUGUCAUUACCUGAAAUAAAGAAGCAAAUUUAAAACCAGCACCAAAAUGCUAGCUGCAAAGAGGGGUUUCAUUUUGGUGAAGGAAGAAUUGUGAAUGGAGAAGUCCUUGGUAGCUUUAACCUUCCCUGAAGCUGUUUUUACAAGAGAGAAAGAUGAUCUACCUUACAACCCAUAUGAUGGAAUGUCCCACCAUUCAUAAGCAAAAGAAGGUUUUUUUCUUUCUCUUCAGAGCUGUUGCUUCUUAGGUAAUCUUCACUGUUUUUCUUGGAUGAUGGAACAUAUUUUUCAAGUACUCUGCCUGUUUACAAAGCUUCAGCCCUCAGAGAACAGAAGUGGUACUGUCUGACCGGUAGAACCAGUCAGAUGGCUGGAAAAGCAAAUUCCAAAUGCUAAGCCCACAAGUGAAUAAAGAACAGCUCAUGUGCACCCACUUAUAUUUGCUUUGUUUAUAAGCAGUGAAUGCUAAAUGACUAUGAAUAAUUCACAAAAAUUAUGUCUUCCUUGCAAACAGCCUGAAUGUGCAAACUGAAGCCACUUCCCUGUGACUAGGUUUUAACCAGUUCUCAGUGUAAUAAGCAGAUAUUCUCUCUAAAUAUUCACUUGCAUUUAUAGAUAUAAAUGUUAUUGUUCACAUGCAGCCAGGAAAUCCUGCCUGAAGACUGAUUGUCUCUGGUAUCGUGCUUCUUAUCUAGAGGCCUUCACUGUGCAAAACAAGUAUCAAAUGCUGCCACUCUGAUGUAAGUACAAGUGAUAACAUGAGAGAGAUAGGAACAGAGAAUGCAUCCCAAAGGAGCUGUGGUUUUAUUAGCAACAUUGAGGCAUCUCUGUGCUGAGCCAUCUCAUCUGAACGAGGCUGGUGGCUUAUGAAGGUAGAGAAGUAUCCUUUGAUGAGAAAAUGCAAAUCCCAAACAAAACGUUUGCAGAACCACUAAUCACCAUCUCCAUGCAAUUGAGCAGCCAUGUGGUGGUACAGAGUGACUCAAAGAGGUUGCAAGCAGCUGCAUGUGGCUCUCAACCAGCAGAAAGGAGAUAGUGGUGGCUUCAGGCUGAAAACUGGACCUGGAUAUGGAGGAGGAGUGUGCAUGGGGAUCCACU